Molecule: non-coding RNA, 27 nt
Filed under: Mus musculus (house mouse)
Lineage: Eukaryota; Metazoa; Chordata; Mammalia; Rodentia; Muridae
Source: RNAcentral
UGAGCGCCAUCUUCCCUGACAGGGUCC